Long non-coding RNA from Homo sapiens (human), 1275 nucleotides. Ensembl annotates it as PRDM16 divergent transcript. Its record names the gene PRDM16-DT. The record is from Ensembl. NCBI's taxonomy places the organism in Eukaryota, Metazoa, Chordata, Mammalia, Primates, Hominidae.
AGGAGGAACUCAAGCUCAGCUUCUGCCUCCUGUCUCCUGGGACCCUCGGGCAGCCCCUCCAGCUUCCUGGGAGUCCAAUUUCCCAAGGUAGAACGGUGGCGGCAGAGCCUGGCCCUGUGGUGGGGCAGCUGCACCCCGAUGAGUGGCUUGCAGUUCCUGGAGCCCUGCAGGUUGUUGGAGAGGCAGGGAGCCCUUCUCCCUCCUGCCUGCCCUCUUGCACUUCCUCUCCCAGAACCCAGCACUACUCCCAGAGGCUCUGAGCUGGAGCCCUAGAAGGAGGCGCUGCAAGGCUCCGUGCUCCUGGAGCUUCGAGUCUAUGGUAUGAGUUAAACAGAAGGGUAUCUCCUCCAUCAGAUCUACAGGAGGGUGUCUGCUCCAUCAGACCUGGAGCUUCCAAGGCAUUUUACCCGAAGCUCCAGCACCUGGCCCAAGGCUGGGCUGUGCUGUGUCCUCAGUGAAAGAAUGGAUGAGUCACAGCUGAAUGACUGAAGAGCUGAACCAGUAGGUUUCCCUGGGGUUUCCACAGGCAGUUUCAGCCCAGGGGAAGACCCAGGGAGAUGAGGGCCACCUUGCAGGACGCUGUGGUGUGGAGGCAGCAGCCUGGGGCAGGGACUGUGCUGAGUGUCUGAGGCCGAGCCACCCCUCUGUAACCUCUAUAAUCCAUCAGGUCUCAGAGGGCCGUCCUAUGUUCAGUAAGCCAAUGCUAGCACCAUGUGACGAGGACACAGCAGUGAGCAGCUGCCCAGGCCCCUUGCACUGUGUUUGGAAAAGGAAGCUGGCUUGUUCAGGGGUCCCCAGCAGGAUGGGGGGCGGGGGCAGGGACCAUGGCAGAGCGAGAGUUCUAGGAGAGAAGCUGGUCCACCCACAGGCUCCCUGGCCUGGGUGCUGUACCAGGCAGGGUGCUGGGCAUUGUGCUGCUCACUUCCCACCCCUGGGUUGCAACUGGGGGCUGUGUGGCCUUCCCAGUCCUGUUGUGGGUGCUGUGAUUGUGCCCACCUUACAGAUGGGAAAACUGAUGCUCAGAGGCUUGAGCAACCUAGGCCAGGACCUGUCCUUAGAGGCAGAAGCAGGACUCAGAGGAAGAGCACCCUGACCACAAAGCCCCAGGGUCCAGAAAGACUCAGCCACUGGAGUCUGUAUUUCCUGAGUCGCCUCUCACUGCUGGAGCUGUUUAUCAUCGCUCCAACUUUCACUAAAAAGGAAAAACUAUCACUUAAACAAAGCCAUUGAAACCCCAGCAUCAUGUGUGGAUUUUUUAACAUAAAUAAAUCAUAC